CUUUACUAUAACUUUGCAGUGGCAUCAAAAUUGUCAUGUGUAGCAUAGGUGGGACCCUUUGAAGCCUUGGCGCUAGCUGAGGUGGAGGGACAACAUGAAAUACCACCCUUGACUCUUUUGGUGUCUAACCGAGCUCCAUUAUCUGGAGCCGGGACCCUGCAUGGUGGGUAGUUUGACUGGGGCGGUCGCCUCCUAAAGUGUAACGGAGGCGCGCGAUGGUGGGCUCAAGACGGUUGGAAAUCGUCUUCAAGAGUGCAAUGGCAUAAGCUUGCCUGACUGCGAGACUGACAAGUCGAGCAGAGACGAAAGUCGGUCAUAGUGAUCCGGUGGCUUCCAUAUGGAAGGGCCAUCGCUCAACGGAUAAAAGGUA
RNAcentral lists this ribosomal RNA (370 nucleotides) under uncultured organism. Its description in RNAcentral is "bacterial LSU rRNA". It matches the Rfam family "Bacterial large subunit ribosomal RNA", at positions 2099 to 2465 of the family's 2925-position model. The record is from RNAcentral.